Molecule: transfer RNA, 73 nt
Filed under: Candidatus Cytomitobacter indipagum
Lineage: Bacteria; Pseudomonadati; Pseudomonadota; Alphaproteobacteria; Holosporales; Holosporaceae
Description: tRNA-Ile
Rfam family: tRNA
About the family: Transfer RNA (tRNA) molecules are approximately 80 nucleotides in length. Their secondary structure includes four short double-helical elements and three loops (D, anti-codon, and T loops).
Source: RNAcentral
GGGCUUGUAGUUCAGGGGUUAGAACACAUCGCUUAUAACGGUGUUGUCGCAGGUUCAAAUCCUGCCAAGCCUA